This 359-nucleotide long non-coding RNA is filed under the name Gossypium raimondii (Peruvian cotton). RNAcentral's name for it is "long non-coding RNA (GRAI_LNC004706)". Lineage: Eukaryota; Viridiplantae; Streptophyta; Magnoliopsida; Malvales; Malvaceae. The record is from RNAcentral.
GGGGCGACCGACAAUAGACCGAUCAGCGGUGGUCGAAGGUGGCUGGACCGUGACCAACAACAAUGACAGUGACAGUGAUUGUGCCAUCAGCAAUGGUGACAAUUGUGAUUCAUGGUGGUGACAACGGUUCGACGGUGAUCCUUUUGGUGUGUUUUUUUUUCCCAUUUUUUUUGGUUUUUGGAUUUUGGGAAACCCAAAACCAUGAUAUUUUGCUUUUACCUAGAAGACCCAUAGAAUUCUUUGCGAUAAUGAAUGAAAAUUUUUCUUUAUCUAUUUUUCUAGGAUGGAAUCAUGGAAACUUUGGCUGGUCAGAGUAGUUUAAUUUUAUUCUUUUAUGUGAUAGCAUGAUAAUAUUUAAA